This 813-nucleotide long non-coding RNA is filed under the name Mytilus galloprovincialis (Mediterranean mussel). Lineage: Eukaryota; Metazoa; Mollusca; Bivalvia; Mytilida; Mytilidae. The record is from RNAcentral.
UUUUUUAUUUAUUUCAUAGCGUUUUCUUGUUAACGUUGUAAAAGACAUUGUCCAACUAUUCCGGGUAAUGCAAUUUUAUGUUAGUUUCUUCGUUUGCAAAAACCAUUGACGAACACACAGACAUAUUUAUAGGGACGAAAAAAGUGAAAACAUAGGUCUCCCGCAAUGUCGAUGUUGGCACUAACAGUACUGAUGAUACUUAGAAAUGGAAACUUAGAAUAGAAUAACGAAUACUUAAUGAGCAGAUAUAACUUAAUCAUAAUAACAUUCUACCUUAAACCGAUAUAAUAUAAUAAAUAUCAAACGUCAAAUAUUUACAAUCAUGGUUAUUUACAGUGUUAAUUACAAACCGGGAUUUUACAUUAGAGACCUCCUUCCUAAAGACCUAAAUCUAAUUCUUUAAACAAAUGUCUACUUCAAAUCUCAUAUCUGUACGUGGUGCAUACAGAUGACAGGCCAUUGGUUGUCAAACACAAACAGGUACAGGUGAGACACGCUCUGGGAUGUACAAUUUUGGGGUCUGAUAUAAAUGACUCCUGAUCAUUCUAAUAUCUUACUCGUUAAAAUAUCUUGUAUUAACAUUUGAUUUCAGGUUAUAUAAUGUAUUGUUUUAUGUACCUGCUGAUUUAUACUAAAAAGCUUUAAUUCGAUUAAGAAUUAAGUCAAACAUGCUACAUGCUCAUGUCCCAAAUCAGGAACCUCGUCAUUAGUCUUUUCAUCGCAUGUUGAUUUUCGUUCAUCAGUAUGUUGUCUGCUUGGUUGUUGCGUUGAUGUCUCGUUGGUGUAUAGCAUCACAGACCCAACUUUACUGUC